Amphiprion ocellaris (clown anemonefish) is the source of this 724-nucleotide long non-coding RNA. RefSeq lists it as uncharacterized. The transcript has 2 exons. Lineage: Eukaryota; Metazoa; Chordata; Actinopteri; Pomacentridae. The record is from RefSeq and is a predicted model, not a curated record.
GCUCACGCGUCGUCGGAGAAACGCUCUGAACAGUGACGUGUGUGUGUGUGUGUGUGUGUGUGUGUGUGUGUGUGUGUGUGUGUGUGUGUGUGUGUGUGUGUGUGUGUGUGUGUGUGUGUGUGUGUGUGUGUGUGUGUGUGUGUGUGUGUGUGUGUGUGUGUGUGUGUGUGUGUGUGUGUGUGUAUAUCGAGCUGGAGAGCAUGCUAGCUGAUGGCUAACACUUAAAUUAGCGCCCUUGGAACGGCGGAAUGAGUUUUCACGGUGCUUAUAGUACACGGUGCUUGUCGAGAGUGAGAAUAAAUCAACACCCGUUUGAAACUCUGCGUCUUGCUGAGUGAAUCCAAGGGGCCGCUACAGUGAAAACUCAACCCUACACCAGUCCUGCCAUCCCUGGUGAGAAGUCCAACUGCCAAACUGGUACCAGCCGUUUUACUUCGCUUGCAUUCAACUCCUGCAUCAAGGCAAGAUUUAAAAUGGACGGCAUGCUUAAGGUACAACUACAGGCAAAAGAGACUCUGGAUAGCAAGAAGCAAAGAAGCUGAAAAGGGACUAUUUACUCACGCCAGCUUACAGCAUAACUGAAGUGCCUUAUAUAAUAACAUGGUAUUGUGAGGUCAAAAUACUUGAGCUAAUUCCCAGUUCCUAACAGUUCUGAAAUUGGUGAAUAUUUCAAGGUACAUGUGUUUGUGGAAUAAUAAUAAUUGAUAACGUGUAUUUUGUAAAA